Molecule: long non-coding RNA, 815 nt
Filed under: Columba livia (rock pigeon)
Lineage: Eukaryota; Metazoa; Chordata; Aves; Columbiformes; Columbidae
Description: partial uncharacterized LOC102087785
Source: RNAcentral
GUGUUACCAGAUCGCUUAGCGCAAGCUCGACUCAGCCACUCCUUUUUUCAUCAAAAUGCUGCAGGCCUUACGUUUGUUAUUAAAACAAAAAGGGGGAAUAGGGGCUGCUACACCAGAGGAGCGCUUACAGAAAGCCUUGUAUGUUUUUAAUUUUUUGAAUUGUUCCCUGUUAGACAGCAAUCCUCCAGUAGUUCGUCAUUUUAGCACAAACACCCUUUUUGAACCAAAGAUUAAGCCGCCAGUAUUGAUCCGGGACCCCGAAACAGGUAAAGUGAUGGGACCCUAUCCCCUUGUUACAUGGGGUAGAGGCUAUGCUUGUGUUUCCACAGAGAGAGGUCCUCGCUGGAUCCCGGCAAAGAACGUGAGACCCUUCCGAGAAACAUUGCAACGGCAGUCUCCUGAUAACGCUCCAGAACCUGCGUUCGAUGAGGAGAACGUUGCUCCCGAAUGAAUUCCGUCUCAGAAACAGUACCACAGACCUGGGAAGUAAACCCCGAUAAGUGGGAGGAAACAAAAAGGAGGUGUCGGAAAAAGAGAAACAGAAGGAAGACUAAGAGCCUGCAGGAAUGGGCCAAGAACUGACACUUUGGGGCUCCUUCCCUCCACAGGGGGAAUGGGAGAACAUCUCAAAUCGCGAAAAUUGCUCUAAUAUGAGUCCGGAGAUUCUUCCUGUUAACGGGACUGGAGUGGUCUAUUUUGGUGAUAGCUGGACUGGGUAUUUGAUUCGAGAUGGUCACAAAGAGACAUUAGAUUCACUGAUUCAUUAUCAAAACGUGUCAGGUAACUCUGGUCACUGGAACAUUUCGAUAAAUACA